ACACAAACUUUAAGCCUUGUGAAACCGCCCAGGUGGUGUUUAAGAAAUUUUGGUAAAGAAAGAAUGGAGGAAGAAGUAUUUGAGGCAGAUUCUAGCUUGCAAGACGUGAGAAAGCUAUAGCCCGGUUUUAUUUAGUUUAGCUUAGUUUUAUUAAAUUUUUAUUUUUAAAUUGCAGCUAGUUUGAAAAUUGGUUUCUGGCAAGAGGAAAGAAAAGCCUGCAGCACUGAAGGAAGAAUCAAAGUGUUAAAAGGACGCUCAAAAUAUAGUACUGUGGCAGGCCGGGGGAUGAAAAACGAACCCCAGGCUCCAUCCCGGGAUGGCUGUCUCCUGCGACUUCGCUCUUGUUUUGCGGUGUUUUACAGGGAGGCGGAUUUCUUCCCAAUCCCUGUCAUCACAGUCCCAGAGGCCCUGGAGUUUGGAGGUUUGGAGUGCCGGGUCUGGAGUUUGGAGUGCUGGGUUUGGAGAGCCGCGCUCGGGCCGCAGAGGCAACAAGUCCUGGAUCUAGCCCGGGGCGAGCACCGCGCCGCCCCGCAGCUGAGCCAGGGGCCCGCCUCUCAGGAAUGAAUUUUGCACGUGUAAACUAUUUGCCUGUGGACGCGCACAGCUGCGACCCUCGGGCUUAUCAGGGGAAAAAACUCUUCCCUUAAAUGGACGGUUUGGAAAAACUCAGCCAUUGGUUCUUGCCAGAUGAUUAUUGAUGCAAAGUAAACCCUACGGGUUGGAGCGCGCGCGCGUUUGUUUAACCCUAAAAGUAUUCCACUUCCGAGUUGCUCAAGGUGACAUCCACUCGAAAUCGUUUGUAUUUUUUCAGUUGUUGGGAAAAUAAGUAGGAGUGAUGUGUGGGAUAUGGCACAGACACGUAUUAGUGUGAGAGGCAUAUUUCAUCAGAAAUCGAUGCCCUGCGUUGGCUGAAUUAUAGGAAAGUGGCCCCCCAAAAACUGGAAAGGCGGCUCCCAGCGCGCGCGCACACACACAUUUCUACAGAUGUGCCUUAGAAAUGCGUAGUUACAGGCUUUUUCCUGAUACUAACGCGCGGCUCUGGGAUUCGGUUUUGUAGUUUAGUAAUAUUGUUGGUCUGCUGUGUAUUUCAUGACGCAAAUAUUUGGGCACCAGUGCUGAGUGGUCGUUCAUUUAAGCACUAAACAGCGAUAUGCAAGCGCCUGCCGUGAGCCGGCUUUUAUUUAUUAUUCUUAAUUCUCCCCUAUUCAGGAACGUGGAAUACACACGUGCUGCACCAAAGAUUGGGUAGAGUUGAUCCAGGUGCUGGCAAACAAGUCUUUGCCAGUUAUUUCCGAGGAAGCCUAGAGAAACUGACUUAGAGAGAAGUUGACGAGAAAGCUGAUUGCGGAUCAGAGGCGAUUUUGUUCAUUAGCAGGGGCAACUCCUGCGCUUGGGUCUGGCGGGGCGAGCAUAUAAAAUUCAACUUUUGCCCCAUUGGUUCGCUAGGUGAAUUAGCACAUACUGGGACUGAACAGUCCUUGACCUUUGCCUUUAUGUUUGCGCAAAUGUUUGCCUAAAACACAAUCGGCCUUGACAAGGGAGCAUGCUACCGUGUGACACUGCCUAUUCACCAGAUAGAUGUUCCCUGCCACACACGACCCAGAGCAGCCUUUUAAAUAGCUUAGGUAUUUGUAAAAACCGUAUAAAUUAAUGUCCGAUGAUUGCUAGUUGCUGGUUAAAUAGAAGACAAUUUGGGUGAAGGAUACACAUCUGUCUCUGGUCUUUCCCCCACCCUGCCUUCAAAAAAGUCGAUAAGCUAAUCAGGAAACAAAACUGGUAGUAGAGGAAAGUUUAUGUUUAAGGGAGUCAACAGAUUUUUGUUUGAUCAAAUGGGCACAUGCUUAGUUCCUUUACAAAUUCUUUUCCACAAAGAUGGGGUGGUGGAUGAAGGAAGAGAGAGGAACUGUGUGGGGAAACUGAGGGACUGAUGCUCAGGACAAUUGGUAGUGGGGAGUUUUGGGAAAUUAACCCAAAGAUCCUGAAGGAUUUAUGGUUCCUGGAGGAACCGUGAGCGUAGAGAAGUUCUGAGGUGAGUGAGGGGAGGGAGGCUGGGAACCCAGUGGGACUGGGGAAGUUUUCCUGAGCUUAACAUUUCUGAAUACUUCCUCCAAUAAAACUAAAUACUUUAGCAGGAGGAGAAAAACAUCCUGUAAAAAUCUAAAAUUGGUUUAACCCCCCUUUUUAACCCCCGCAUUGUAGAUCUGAGUGAUUUAGAUGACUGGACUGCCUUUCCCUGAACUUUGACAUAGGAAAAAAAUGAACUUCCCUUGGCUGUGUUUUCUAGCUGGGUUCAAAAUUUUUCACAUUCCUUUCUUUACCAGCAAGAUGGCAAAACCACACCAAUCCAGGGCUUCAUUUCUGGGGCAGAUAGAACUACAGAAACAGGGAGAACACAUUGAAAGGAACUCAGGAAUUUGCAGUAUCCCCUUUUGGAAGUGUCAUUCCUUUGGGAGAGAGGAGUGUUUACUUUGUCCCAAAAUGAUGCAGUUGACAAGGGCAGCACCAACUCCAGCCACAGCCUGGGGUUGCAGAUUUGAGUGUCUGAGAGCCUCUUCAAUUUUUUCAAACAGUUGACCAGGUCUCUUUCAGGCUUUUUUUGAACCGUGCGCAGGUGGAGAGGAGGGUGGGUCACCAGUUUUCCUAGGAAGCCCCUUUUCUUGUUCUCUGGGCAGAAUUUGCUUUUUCUCUCUGGUUUGCUGUGAGUCAGAGUAGGGGACAGUUUGUUUAACAAAAGCUUUGUUCCCCACAGAAUUUUGGUGUAGCACAAAAGUAGCAGAAAGGUAUAAACAAAAACUCCAGAAUGCAAAAGCAAAAUAUUCAUCUGAGAACAAGCACCUUGCAGAGAAUUGUAAUAUAGAGAGGCUUAACAGAAGAGUAAAUAUAAGUGAUAUAGAAGGAAAUUAAGGAGACUAUUUUGACUUUUCAAUAAUUCCGCCUUAAGAAUUUUCUUCAUUAAUAGAUAAGAUUUAUUAGUUUAUCCUUAUUAUUUAAUAAGUUGGCAUGUAUGAACCAUUUCAAAACAGUUUUGUAAGUUUCACAGGAAACAAUGUGAAUGGUAGCCUGUAUGUUUUGACUUUAGGUUUAGAAAUGUAGGAAAUUAGACAUAGAUAGAAAUCAUACUUAAGUUCUCAGGGGAUAUUUGCUUAUUUCCUUAAACUUUUAAUCAUUUUAAAAAUUGUAUUAUUUAAAAGUAAAAUGACUCUAGGUAUUCUCUUUUUUCUCCUUGUCCCUUCUUGCCAUCCCCUGGUCUUUUAGAGAAUUUAGGAAUUAAAAAUAUAGAAAUGAACAUUUCAGUGCUCUCUCCUCUCAGAUAUUCUGCAAUGACGUGGAAAGCAAGGCAGUGAUGUGUUUCUAGACUCCAGCAACAUGUUUCCAACUAUUGUAUAUCUGUGCUUGUGGUAGAUGAGGUUUGUUCAGGUUUAUGGGUGAAUUGGGACCUAGAAUCUACAACCUAGAUGAUGAAUAUGAAAGACUUAAGUUUAAGUCUAGUUGUAAAAAUCAGCUUAGGAAUUCAAAAUAAUUUCAAAUUUGUUUAGUUCUAAAUAGAUAUAGUUUAGUAAACUAUUUACUAAACAUUUAGUUAGAAAAGUAUCUAUGUUGUAUAAAACAUACUUCACAUAUAUUCUAGGUACCGACAAUUAUUUAGUCUGUGUAUUCAUUUAGUUAUUCAAUUACAAUGAGUCAAAUUGAAGACCAGAGAUGGUCAGUUCGAUCUAUUGUGGGAAGACAUUUAGAAAUUAUGCAUAUUUCUGGCCAAACUAAAAUAUCAUUAAAUAUUUAUAUUGUGAAAUCUGUAGGUGUUUUUAUCUGGCAGUGUUCAAGAGGACAUAUAGUAAUUUAUUGAUACAAAUGACAGCAUAGCAUAAUUGCCAAACCAUUCUUAUUUAAAUGAAUAAGACAACUUUUAUGGAGAAGAAAUCUUUUUAAUCACUUCUGAAAAAUAAUAGACCUUUUAUAGUAAUUCUAUUUUCCUUAAGGCAAAAAAAAAGAAAGUUGUAAAAUUAAUUUACAACUGUAUUUGAAAAAUUAAAGUAACUGAUUUAUUCUUAUGAAUUGAGUGGUUCAGAAAAUUUGCUGAAAAUUCGUUUGCAUCUGAAAUUCACAUUCAUAAAAGGUAAAGUGAUUGCAUUUAGCUGAUACUAAAACUGUAAAAUCUUUUAGAUGAUUCUACAGUAUACAUUAACUUCUGUGUUAAUAAUAUUCUUACUGCCUUGACUAUAAAAUGACACCUGGCAGGAUGUGUGAAAUUUUAUAUUUUACCAUGAAGUGAAAUUAAAGUGAAAGAGUAAAGUUAGGUUUCAGGUGCUGGAGGGUGCACCCUAGAUUUCCUCCCAUCCUAUCCCUCAAAGAUAAUUCUUUUCCCCUAAUUUAAGCAGAUGAGAUACAUGGUGUAUAUCGUUUUGAUAAUCCUCAACAAUUACUUGCUGUUAAAUUCCAUUCUACAUGAAAACAUACUGUUUUGGAGGCAUGCGAAUUUUACUAUUAAUGACUGAGCUUGAGUUGAAGUAUGACACCUGCAGGCAUUGUGUUUGUGCAUGUGAACGGCCAGGCUGUGCUAAAGUCAGGGUUCAGAGACCAGCCAUUCCCUGGUUGGUGACAAGUUUAGGUUUUCUUGGUAAAGAAAAAGAGAGUCCAUCUCACCUCCAUCUUGAUUCACAAUCUCUGACCAAAUAAAUUCUGCUCCUAUUUCCAAUUCCUAUUGCAUCCAACAUUAGUGCCUAAUUACCUACUCCUGGCAAAGAGAAUGGGGAGGCUGUGGCAACACUGAGCUGGGCUUGGGUGCUAGAGGACAUUUGGAAGGGACCACACCAAGCUCUGCCCAAUAAGGGAGAUUUGGAUACUCAGAAAUUGUUCACUGGAUGGUCAUGGAAAAUGAGAAGUCUGGGCCCCCAUCUUAAUCCCCUUUUGUUGUGGGGGGAGAUAAAUGUUGAGUUGCUAAUUCAGAGUUAAGGAGGAGGGAACAGUGAAAAUAUUAGAGGAGGGUGCUGGCCCGGGAAAGUGCCCACACCUGAAAGGUCUGGGAACAUGUUCUCACUUGACCUUUCAAGAGUUUCCUUAGUUUGCCAACAGGGCUCUGCCAAGCACCUGUGUUAAUGGCAGCAGCAGAGCCCAGCAGGGAGUGCGGGUGAGUAAGGUACCCUGUGAGCAUGCGGAAGGGCGAGAGAUCCUUCUCUGAUUUCUCUGAAAGGCAGCUGGUGGGGGGAGUGAGGGUCCAGGAGUAAGGUUUUCCUGGCUCCCCACACUGUCACUCCCGCUAUGGUUUGUUUGUUUGUUUGUUUUGAUCUCUGUUCAUUUGCAUUCCCCACCACCUGCAGCAGUUUGGGAGCGAAGCAGGUGCAACGGGCUACACAGGGGUACACGCUGGCCAGUUCCCCAGCUCCAUCCUCCCCACUCACCUUCUCCCACCUCCUCAGACACCUCACCUCCUCUCACCUUUCCUAUUCCCUCAGUCCUUCACAAAUCUCCUCCUCAUUCUCCUUCCCAGCCCUUAUGACUUUUUUCUUCCUUUCACCCCCUUCUGCACAAACCCACAAGCUUCUAUGUCCCCCAACCAACUUUCUGAAUUCUCACCCAUCUCCUGUCCUUCAUCACCUCACCCGCUCUUCACGCCCAAACCCUGUUAAACCCCUGCACACCCUCUCACAACCCCACAGACUCCCCUUUGCCCCUGUCAUCUCUAUGCUUCCCUGAUCCUUUUACAUGUCACACCCCUCUCAUGCCUUCACCUCCUCAUCCUCCACACUCCUCACAUGCCUCCUGCAUCAUUCCCACUUCUUACACCCACUUGAUUCACAUCUCCCACACCACUCACAUGUACCCCACACCCCACACUCAGACCUGUUCUCUCACUUAAGCACAAGACAGCCCCUCAAACUGCCUUUCCCCAGGUGCUAUCUGAGCUCUUUGUCCCUUUUGGAGAGGCCAGCUUCCAGCCUCUUCCUCUCCAAUCCCUCUUCUUUCUAUGUUUCCUUCUACACCAGAGAUCAGUAUCUUCCCUGCCUCCUUCUGGAUUUCUCUUUGGAGAAGAGGACAUGGCUUCUUCCCCAUCACCUUUUUUCACCCACGAGGAGCAGCUAGUCCUCUGAUGUGGCAUCUCUGCUCUCAGUUCUGAGCUUUUCCUGGACUCUCCUUCCAGAUUUGUCCUCUGGUUUCACCCAACAAACUUAUAUAAGUGUUACAUUUCCAUCAGGAGGGUAGGUAAUAGGGUCCUUUAAACUGUGGUUCAUCAACUUGAUCAAGCCUCAGAAUCACUCAGUCUGUUAAAAAAAAAUAAAACAAAAUAAAACAACUGGAAGAUGGCUGGGCCCCAUCCUCAGAACUUCUGAUUCAGUAGACCUGAGGUAAGACCUGAGAAUUUGUAUUUUUAAUGAGUUUCCAGGUGAUAUUGAGGCCACUGCUCUGGGAGCACAUUUUGAGGAAAUUUAAGCAAUGUCUCCAUUGUCUGAAGGAUCCUAUUGCACAGUUAGAAGACAGAAGUCCAAGAGCAGAAUGAUGCUGGCUAGAUGGGAAUAGUGUUCUAAAAAUUCUCCAAACCAGAAUUGGAAUGUGAAUUCAUACUGAUGAAUGCUUAGUUUCCCAAAUCAUAUUUGUGGUUAGGGCUCCUUCUAUGAAAGGAAGGAGAAAAAGAAAGAAGGUUGUGUCACUGUCUAUUUUUCAUGAGGCUAAUGGUGUUUAGGACUGUGGGGAAUUGGGUCUUGCGUCACUGAAAGAGCUAGUGACUCUGGGUAGGCUUAUUGUUUGUGAACCUUAGUGUUUGUGUGUGUGUUAGAGAGUUUGCUAACUACCUUUGUGGUUAGGCUUCAUUCUAAAUGAACAGGCAGACUCUGGCCCUACAGAAUCACCUUCUCUAGUCUGGGUAGUGGUUACCAUGGUCACUUUCUGCUCCCUCUCCAUCUGCUUGUGGAGAAGCAUCAUAGACUUCUCCCUUCAGUCCUCCUUGAUGGCUGGAAGGUGACACAGAAACUUUUGGCCUGUUCAUGUUCUGUCUUGUCUUUUCAGUUAUCUAGGGAAUGAUUCCCUUAAUUUAUUUGAAGUUGCAAAGAUAUGUGUAUGAAGAAGGAAAAA
Molecule: long non-coding RNA, 7065 nt
Filed under: Sus scrofa (pig)
Lineage: Eukaryota; Metazoa; Chordata; Mammalia; Artiodactyla; Suidae
Description: lncRNA (ENSSSCG00025009959.1)
Source: RNAcentral